RNAcentral lists this ribosomal RNA (497 nucleotides) under uncultured bacterium. RNAcentral describes it as "partial 16S ribosomal RNA". It matches the Rfam family "Bacterial small subunit ribosomal RNA", at positions 28 to 507 of the family's 1533-position model. The record is from RNAcentral.
GAUGAACGCUGGCGGCGUGCCUAAUACAUGCAAGUCGAGCGAACAGACGAGGAGCUUGCUCCUUCGACGUUAGCGGCGGACGGGUGAGUAACACGUAGGUAACCUACCUAUAAGACUGGGAUAACUUCGGGAAACCGGAGCUAGUACCGGAUAAUAUUUCGAACCGCAUGGUUCGAUAGUGAAAGAUGGCUUUGCUAUCACUUAUAGAUGGACCUGCGCCGUAUUAGCUAGUUGGUAAGGUAACGGCUUACCAAGGCAACGAUACGUAGCCGACCUGAGAGGAGGAGCAGCAGCAGUGGAACUGAGACACGGGCGAGAAGCCGACGGGAGGAAGCAGGGGGGAAGAUUGGUAAAUGGGCGCAAGCCUGAUAAAGCCAUAACGAGGGAGUGAAGAAGGACUUAGGGGCGUAAAGCCCUUUUGUUGGGAAAGAAAAGCAGCAGGUGAAUACCCCGAGGUGCUGAGGGGACCCAAAGAAUAAGAACCGGCUAACUUCGUG